This 499-nucleotide ribosomal RNA is filed under the name uncultured soil bacterium. RNAcentral describes it as "bacterial SSU rRNA". It matches the Rfam family "Bacterial small subunit ribosomal RNA", at positions 8 to 524 of the family's 1533-position model. The record is from RNAcentral.
AGAGUUUGAUCCUGGCUCAGGACGAACGCCGGCGGCGUGCUUAACACAUGCAAGUCGAGGGCACUUGGGGGGCAACUCUCAAGUGACCGGCGAACGGGUGCGUAACACGUGAGCGAUCUACCCUGGUGUGGGGGAUAGCCGGCCCAACGGCCGGGUAAUACCGCAUACGCUCGUCGGGAGGCAUCUCCGGACGAACAAAGCCUUCGGGCGCACUGGGAGGGGCUCGCGGCCUAUCAGCUUGUUGGCGGGGUAAUGGCCCACCAAGGCGACGACGGGUAGCUGGUCUGAGAGGAUGGCCAGCCACAUUGGGACUGAGAGACGGCCCAGACUCCUACGGGAGGCAGCAGUGGGGAAUAUUGGACAAUGGGGGCAACCCUGAUCCAGCCAUGCCGCGUGAGUGAUGAAGGCCUUCGGGUUGUAAAGCUCUUUUGGCGGGGACGAUGAUGACGGUACCCGCAGAAUAAGCCCCGGCUAACUUCGUGCCAGCAGCCGCGGUAAU